Molecule: long non-coding RNA, 677 nt
Filed under: Junco hyemalis (dark-eyed junco)
Lineage: Eukaryota; Metazoa; Chordata; Aves; Passeriformes; Passerellidae
Description: lncRNA (ENSJHYG00000007331.1)
Source: RNAcentral
CCUGAGCUAGAUGAAGGAGUUUCAGACCUAGGGGUGAACGACACAUGGCUGGUUGGAGCUUGCUGGGCUAGAGCUGGGACAGAGCAUCUUCCUGUGUUGGGUUGUGCAUCUCCAUCCAACAUCUCUCACUGGGCAGAUGCAGCAUGAAAUCAUUGUCUUGAGGGUGAUGAGGAAAAGUAAGAGAGGAAGGGGGACAUGCAUUAACCAUGGGGUUGUUGCCCCAUGUUGUGCCACUUUUGACCUGGGAGUUCAGAGACAUUUAGUUCUCCUUGUGUUUCCUUGCUGGUCUGGGAACAAGCAUGCAUGGAAAGAGAUGGGGACAGAAAAGCAGGGUGAGAAACCAAAGCUGAGAGCUCCUGCUCCCACCACAGCCAGUUCUGACCAGCCAGACCAGAGCUCCACUGGAGAAGGACAAUGCAAAACUUUGGCUUUCUCUCUCCAAACCAGCAGGCAUGAGGCUGCUCCAGCAUGGAUGUGUUGCAGAUGUGCUGAUAGCAGUGAGCUGAGUGCUGACACUGCUGUGGAGGGGCUGCAGGAGAACCUUUGGAACCACCCUCACCAGAGACCACAGUGGACAAAAUAAAACCUUUAAAGGCUCAAGGUAGUUAAUACAAAUUAAUUAAAAGCUCACAACAUUUUAUUUAAAUAAAAAAAAAAGGCUAUUGAAAUGAACCUCA